This is a long non-coding RNA of Parus major (Great Tit), 389 nucleotides long. RefSeq lists it as uncharacterized. Lineage: Eukaryota; Metazoa; Chordata; Aves; Passeriformes; Paridae. The transcript is spliced from 2 exons. The record is from RefSeq and is a predicted model, not a curated record.
UCCAGCUCUGAAUCCCCUCUUUGUGCAUCCCAGGAUGGAUCCUGGGGUUAAUCCCAGUGUGUGAUCCAUGCUGGAAUCUCACAGAUCUUCUCUUUCUGCAGGAAGGGACAUGGAACUCAACAGAUGAACCACACGUAUGGAGCAGGAUUGGGAAAUCACCGCCGGAGCGAUCCACAGAGUUGGAUCUGGCCCUUUCCCUCUUCCCAGGAAAGCCGAGAGCUGCCAGCAGAGCUCAUCCCACUGCUGCCACCCACCCCACAGCUCUUGCUAAUGGAUCAAUUUCCUGUUUUCCAAUGUUUUAGAGCCAAAACCCACAAAUAUUCCUGAUGCUUUAGUUCUGGUGUGAAAUUAUCCUGCUUGGGGCAAGAAAUCCUGCUUGGGGCAAGAAA